This 435-nucleotide ribosomal RNA is filed under the name uncultured bacterium. RNAcentral describes it as "partial 16S ribosomal RNA". It matches the Rfam family "Bacterial small subunit ribosomal RNA", at positions 29 to 507 of the family's 1533-position model. The record is from RNAcentral.
AACGAACGCUGGCGGCAUGCCUAACACAUGCAAGUCGAACGAUUGCCUUCGGGUGAUAGUGGCGCACGGGUGCGUAACGCGUGGGAAUCUGCCCUUAGGUUCGGAAUAACAGCUGGAAACGGCUGCUAAUACCGGAUGAUAUCGCGAGAUCAAAGAUUUAUCGCCUGAGGAUGAGCCCGCGUUGGAUUAGGUAGUUGGUGGGGUAAAGGCCUACCAAGCCGACGAUCCAUAGCUGGUCUGAGAGGAUGAUCAGCCACACUGGGACUGAGACACGGCCCAGACUCCUACGGGAGGCAGCAGUUGGGAAUAUUGGACAAUGGGCGCAAGCCUGAUCCAGCAAUGCCGUGUGAGUGAUGAAGGCCCUAGGGUUGUAAAGCUCUUUUACCCGGGAAGAUAAUGACUGUACCGGGAGAAUAAGCCCCGGCUAACUCCGUG